GCGUUUAUUAUUGUUUGAUCAAUGCUACCACCUGGUGGACAUCUGGAGCAAGAUUUCCCUGGCCUAGGGCUGUGGUUCUGGGGGAGCCUAAUCAGAGGAGGGAGAAGGAACUGGGGAGCAUUCUGAAUGCAGGAGUGUGCAUGUGUGUGUUAGGAUUACACACACCGAGGUUUAUUAGGAUCCAGCAGGCUCAGCCCUGGUUCGAAUCAGGGGCACCACGGAAAAUGAGAAAGGCCCUGAGGGGAAGGGGGAAGGAAGCCGGGUUGGCCCAGUGCCUCCCUCCUUCCCUCUCUCUCCCUUUCCCUCCUCCAAGCCUGGCCUAAGCCAAGAGGAACCAGCUUCAGGGAAGGUGAAGAGAGAGAGAAGAAGGUCACUGCUGACGUCAGGGACACUCAGGUAGGAGGGGUCUUCAGAUGUGAACAGAGCUGCUCCCUUGAAUGAGGACCCAGAGUGCUGCCUCUUCACCUCUUCCAGCACCAUCGCUGUCACUGCUUGAGAACUUCACAGGAACUCUGGCACCACCAAGAGCCUUCAGUGACUGUCUAAAGCAGGAAGAGGGCUGGAGGAGAGGGCAGAGCACCAUGGACAUGGUGGCCCAGUGGCCUUAGGCAAGAGGACCAGGGACAGCCUGAUUUCCCUUGUGGAUGUACUUAUGUCCAGUGUAAGCUCCUUCCUGGGUCUGCUCCAAGUUUGGAGGCAGCAGAGCACAGUGGAGAGAGCAAGUGAGUUAGAGUCUCAGUUCCUGGGUUAGAGUCCUGGAUCUGACCUAGAUUGUCUGUUCUACCUUGGGCAAAAUACCUUGCCUCCGCAUGCCUCAGUUUGUCCAUCGUAAAACAUGACAAAACAUGAAGUUUGGAUAGAUGGUGUCUGAGGCUGUCUUGUGCUUUAUGGUUCAUGAGCACAUACACACAGACCCAUAAUAUUCUCUCUCUCAGCCACGCUGCCAGGUAGAUAUGAUUGUCGCAGACUUCAGAUAAGGAGACUGAAGGCUAGUGGUUAAAUUGCUUGCUUAAGCUCCCAAGGCCAGCAGUGGCAGAGCAGGACUGGAAGCCUGGCUCCUAAUUCCAAUCUUAGCCUCUUCCAAGUUCACCACAUUCUUCUCCAAGUGGCCUCUAAGACCUUUUACUGGAAAAUCCCUAGACCUCGAUAAGGAGGCUCUCUUUUGUCUGUAUAUUGGGGACUGGACCAGAGGACCUGGGAUGUCCUUCUAGGCUGAUAUCAUGAGACUGAAGCCCAGUGCCCCACAUGCCCCACCCAGCUCCUUAGAGAGAGGCCCCAGGGCCUGGUCGUGGUGGGUCCACCUGCUGAACCAAGCCUGAGACGUAGCCAAGGACAUCUACCCUGGUGCUGCCUGUU
Equus quagga is the source of this 1356-nucleotide long non-coding RNA. RefSeq lists it as uncharacterized. NCBI's taxonomy places the organism in Eukaryota, Metazoa, Chordata, Mammalia, Perissodactyla, Equidae. The transcript is spliced from 3 exons. The record is from RefSeq and is a predicted model, not a curated record.